Molecule: ribosomal RNA, 468 nt
Filed under: uncultured bacterium
Lineage: Bacteria
Description: partial 16S ribosomal RNA
Rfam family: Bacterial small subunit ribosomal RNA
Source: RNAcentral
GGCGAACGCUGGCGGCGUGCUUAACACAUGCAAGUCGAACGGAAAGGCCCUGCUUUUGUGGGGUGCUCGAGUGGCGAACGGGUGAGUAACACGUGAGUAACCUGCCCUUGACUUUGGGAUAACUUCAGGAAACUGGGGCUAAUACCGGAUAGGAGCUCCUGCUGCAUGGUGGGGGUUGGAAAGUUUCGGCGGUUGGGGAUGGACUCGCGGCUUAUCAGCUUGUUGGUGGGGUAGUGGCUUACCAAGGCUUUGACGGGUAGCCGGCCUGAGAGGGUGACCGGCCACAUUGGGACUGAGAUACGGCCCAGACUCCUACGGGAGGCAGCAGUGGGGAAUAUUGCACAAUGGGCGGAAGCCUGAUGCAGCAACGCCGCGUGCGGGAUAACGGCCUUCGGGUUGUAAACCGCUUUCGCCUGUGACGAAGCGUGAGUGACGGUAAUGGGUAAAGAAGCACCGGCUAACUACGUG